UGUCAUGGUCCGCGGCCCGGCGUCCGGGGUGCUGCUGGGAUGUCCACGCCCACGAGCGUGGCUGCUAACCCCACACCUGCAUCCCAUCCCAGGCGAUCACCAGGUGGACUAUUUAAUCCUGCCCUACCUGCUGCUCCACGCCAGUCCGUAGUCGCCUCUCAGCGGUAACGUACGCCUGCGGAAAAGAACUCGUAUGACAAACUCUCCAUCGGACCUAACACUGUUUUUUUUCCCUGUGUACCCAGAUCAUAACUCGGCGUGUUUUUUUUCGAGCCACCUGCCUGUCCACCUGUGCGCCUGAGAUUUGGUUCACAUUCAGCUUCGCCGUCUCGACCCCUUUUGGAGCUCCACCCCCCUCUGAUUCACUCGGCCCGGCUAUCACCCCUCUCACAGCCCCGCUCUCGGCGUUCCCUGUGCGGUCCCUCGGUUUCGUCUGGUUUCAUCCGUUGUUUUUCUGGCUACCCUCACGGGACACC
Long non-coding RNA from Astatotilapia calliptera (eastern happy), 476 nucleotides. The record is from Ensembl. Lineage: Eukaryota; Metazoa; Chordata; Actinopteri; Cichliformes; Cichlidae.